AUUGAACGCUGGCGGCAGGCCUAACACAUGCAAGUCGAGCGGAGCGGCGGACGGGUGCGUAAUGCCUAGGCAUCUUCCUGGUAGUGGGGGAUAACGUCCGGAAACGGGCGCUAAUACCGCAUACUAUCAGAUUAGCCUAGGUCGGAUUGGCUGGUUGGUGGGGUAAUGGCCUACCAAGGCGACGAUCCGUAACUGGUCUGAGAGGAUGAUCAGUCACACGGGAACUGAGACAGGGUCCAGACUCCAACGGGGGGCAGCAGGGGGGAAUAUUGGACAAGGGGCGAAAGCCUGAGCCGGCCAUGCGGCGGGUGGGAAGAAGGUCUUCGGAUUGUAAAGCACUUUAAGUUGGGAGGCGUUACCAACAGAAUAAGCACCGGCUAACUUCGUGCCAGCAGCCGCGGUAAUUC
RNAcentral lists this ribosomal RNA (407 nucleotides) under uncultured bacterium. Its description in RNAcentral is "partial 16S ribosomal RNA". It matches the Rfam family "Bacterial small subunit ribosomal RNA", at positions 30 to 526 of the family's 1533-position model. The record is from RNAcentral.